ACUCCUACGGGAGGCAGCAGGUAGGGAAUAUUGCGCGAAUGGGCGAAAGCCUGACGCAGCAACGCCGCGUGUGGGAUGACAGCUCUCGGGUUGUAAACCACUUUCAGUGAUGACGAAAAUGACGGUAAUCACAGAAGAGGUCCGGCCAACUACGUGCCAGCAGCCGCGGUAACACGUAGGGACCAAGCGUUGUCCGGAUUUAUUGGGCGUAAAGAGCUCGUAGGCUGUUGUGUAAGUCGGAUGUGAAAACUCAGGGCUCAACCCGGAGACGCCAUCCGAUACUGCACUGACUCGAGUCCGGUAGGGGAGCAUGGAAUUCCUGGUGUAGCGGGUGGAAUGCGCAGAUAUCAGGAGGAACACCAGUGGCGAAGGCGGUGCUCUGGGCCGGUACUGACGCCUGAGGAGCGAAAGCGUGGGGGAGCAAACAGGAUUAGAUACCCUGGUAGGCUCUGCU
Molecule: ribosomal RNA, 454 nt
Filed under: uncultured bacterium
Lineage: Bacteria
Description: bacterial SSU rRNA
Rfam family: Bacterial small subunit ribosomal RNA
Source: RNAcentral